CCAACCCAGGGAUUGAACCUGUGUCUCCUGCAUUGUGGGCAGAUUCUUUACUGUCUGAACCACCAGGGAAGCCCACUCUUUCAUGCAUGAGGUCUGAAUUAAUCACAUACACUGGGUUUCUCAAAUUAUGGUAUGAAAAUGCCCCUUUCUAUGUCCUCCACACUCCCCCAUCCCAACUCUCCCAUUCUGGACAUAUCCUAGGAAAGACUCUGUCUCCUCAUAAGGAGAGUUUACUUUUUAAAAAUUUCAUUUACAAAGACACCUAAAAAAUAAUGUGAACACAUUCUGGAUCACCUGAAUUAUUGUUUAGUCACUAAGUUGUGUCUGAAUCAUCUGAAUAACUGUGCUAUAACUGAGUACAGUUAGGCCAUUUCAGGGCUCCUCUCUGCUUUAUUAUUAUUAUCAGAAACACAUAAAAUUUGCCAUCUGAACCAUUUUUAAGUGUGCAGAUUAACCAAAUGUGCAUUGUUGUGUUACAUAUCUCUAGGACUUCUUUAUCUUAUACAACUGAAACUGUCCAUUGACCACUCCCCUCCUCCACCUCCCCCCACUUCCUGGAAGACACCGUCUACUUUCUGUCUCUGAGCAUUCGACCGUUUUGGACUUCUCAUAUCCUCCAGCUUCAUCCAUGUUGUAGCAUGUCGACUUGCCUUCAAGUUCACGAAUUCAUCUGCUUGAUUGACUCUCCUGUUAAAUCUUUUUAGUGAAUUUUUCAAUCCAUUUACUGAAUUCUUAAGCUCUGGUAUGUCUGUUUAGUUCUUUUUAAGAGUGUCUUAUCUCCUAAUGUUCUCAUUUUUUACAUGGAUUAUUUUCCUGAUUUCAUUCAGUUGUCUAUCUGUGUUGUCGUGAAGUACUUGACUUCCAUAAGAUGAUUACUUUGAAUUCUUUGUCAGGUAAUUCAUAGAUCUCCAUCUCUUUAGUGUCAUUUUCUGGAGAAUUUGUUCCUUCAGUUUGGCCCGAAUUUCCCUGUUUCUUCAUAUACGUUAUUAUUAUUAUUAUUUGUCAUGAUAGAAAAAAACCCAGACACUUUCACCAGUCGUUAUAUAGCCUGGCCUCAUACAGGGGAAGGCCUUCACCAAUCAAUUUGGGUAGAGACUCUGGGGACCUCUCAAGCCUUAGCAGCAGCAGCAUCUCUGGAAUUGUGUGUGCCAUUUCCCCAACGAGAGGUAUUUGCUGGUUUCCUUUUCAGGAGUUUGUGAUUUCUUGCUCCCUCUGGUGUUUCUCUGUGGUACUACAGGUGCUGCUCUCCCCGGCCCCCAAACAUCCAAGUUUUGGAGAGUCAGAAACCCUAGGACCAAUUGACCAUCAUCGAGAAAACUGCCAAGGGACAGCGUAUGUCAUUGUGACGUGUAACUGGAUUGUGAUGGCGCUGUAUCAAAAGAACGCACAGUAAACUCCACUGCAUUCUU
Molecule: long non-coding RNA, 1409 nt
Organism: Bubalus bubalis (water buffalo)
Lineage: Eukaryota; Metazoa; Chordata; Mammalia; Artiodactyla; Bovidae
Exons: 2
Source: RefSeq, a predicted model, not a curated record